This 358-nucleotide ribosomal RNA is filed under the name Streptomyces sp. WAC07149. RNAcentral describes it as "partial 23S ribosomal RNA". It matches the Rfam family "Bacterial large subunit ribosomal RNA", at positions 204 to 516 of the family's 2925-position model. The record is from RNAcentral. Lineage: Bacteria; Bacillati; Actinomycetota; Actinomycetes; Kitasatosporales; Streptomycetaceae.
CAGUACCCUCAGGAAGAGAAAACAACCGUGAUUCCGGGAGUAGUGGCGAGCGAAACCGGAUGAGGCCAAACCGUAUGCGUGUGAGACCCGGCAGGGGUUGCGCAUGCGGGGUUGUGGGAAUGAGCUUUCACAGUCUGCCGGCUGUGAGGCGAGUCAGAAACCGUAUGGAUAGGCGAAGGACAUGCGAAAGGUCCGGCGUAGAGGGUAAGACCCCCGUAGCUGAAAUCUGUACGGCUUGCUUGCUCAUCUCCCAAGUAGCACGGGGCCCGAGAAAUCCCGUGUGAAUCUGGCGGGACCACCCGCUAAGCCUAAAUAUUCCCUGGUGACCGAUAGCGGAUAGUACCGUGAGGGAAUGGUG